This 467-nucleotide long non-coding RNA is filed under the name Mus musculus (house mouse). RNAcentral describes it as "long non-coding RNA chr12:75820285-75820752". The record is from RNAcentral. Lineage: Eukaryota; Metazoa; Chordata; Mammalia; Rodentia; Muridae.
ACAGGGGGUUGAGUCUUGUGUGCCCUCAGUAGCACCAGUGAAAGUUUACUGGAGGAUUCAAAGCAGAAUAGGUCCCAUUCUAGCAACUGCCAGGGACGAAAAGCUACUUAUCAUUUAUUGGCUGUGACUCAUCAUGUGUCUAAGUAGCGAUUUCCAGUAAUUUCACAAACAUUCAUAUCUGCCAAUAGGCUCUUGCAAUGUGCCAACCACUGGGCUGGACACUGGGAGACCCAAAUAAUACAAGUGGUCAUUCGUGAGGUGCUUAUUGUGAAUGUACGUAUAGCCUGUGGUUAUCUUGCUCAUCCGUAAGUAUUUAUUGAGUAUGCAGGUUGCAUUGUGCUAGAGGUGAGGGCAUUGGGGAGACUAUAGAGUGCUAGGUGUGGGGACUCUAGAGUGGACAAGGCAGCUGGGGUCACUUCCUUUAUAUACUGGAGAAAGUAGGUGGAAAAUAAAAUACAUUAUCAAAC